UUAUUAAUUAAUAAUAUUUUUUUUUUCAUUUUUUUAUGUUACUGAACGAGUCAUUCUCUUUAUUAUCAUUAUUAUUAUUUUUUUAAUAAUUAAUAAUAAAAAAAAACGGUUUAUCUUGGGUUUAGAUAGAUUUUUUUUCCUCUGGCUACUCUUGGUGGUGGAAGAAGUUGUGGGGUCCUAUAUCCCUCUGAAGGUGAAGAUCUUCGCUUGAAAAUUUUCAUCUAAUUGGAUUCCUUCCAAUUGCAAUCUUACCAAAUAUGGGCUUCUGAGGUGGCCGAUGGUAAGUGGGUACCACCGCAUGGAAGUAUAGUCAAGAUAAAUGUUGAUGCGGCGCUUGAUUUUGAGUCUGGAAUUUGUGGCUUAAGGAUGUUGGACCGUAAUAUUAAAGGAGAAUUGGUGGUGUCGACGAUUUGGCACUUGUUGGGCAAUUUUUCACCUGAAUUGGUUGAGGCUUUGGCGUUGUUAAAUCCAACUUUAGUGUCGAUUGUUUGGUUUUACUAGCAUUCACUUGGGUCUGAUUGUUUGAGUUUUGUUUGUUUCUUCCAAAUGAUUUUAGUAGUCUCCUAGUUUAAUAUUAUAGCUUCUUCAUUGGGUUUAGUUUUAAAUAAUUUUAGGCAUAACUUUUCUUCAUUUUGUUUAGUUUGAUGAACUCGUUUUGAGUGAUUUAAUUGAUCAAUAAAUCCUUGUCCCUCUCA
This is a long non-coding RNA of Cannabis sativa, 695 nucleotides long. RefSeq lists it as uncharacterized. The record is from RefSeq and is a predicted model, not a curated record. The transcript is spliced from 2 exons. Lineage: Eukaryota; Viridiplantae; Streptophyta; Magnoliopsida; Rosales; Cannabaceae.